Non-coding RNA from Schizosaccharomyces pombe (fission yeast), 734 nucleotides. The record is from the annotation of a GenBank genome assembly. NCBI's taxonomy places the organism in Eukaryota, Fungi, Ascomycota, Schizosaccharomycetes, Schizosaccharomycetales, Schizosaccharomycetaceae.
ACAUACCAAAAAAUAGCAACCGUACAAGCAAAUGGCAUUUGGUAUUGUAAGGGCAUUAGCCAAAAGUUCACAGUUUGAAAGAAGGGCCAGACCAUAUAAUUAGCCUUUAAAUGUUAGCAACAAUACAACAGAACCAUUUAAGAAAGAAAAUUUAGAAAUUAAGUGUACCUUUAAAGUGGGCCAGAAAACAGCUUGAAGUUUAUCGUAGGCGCCCCUGAAACCUUUGCCCUCAGCAAGAGUCUGCGGUUUAGUGUUAGUAUUGAUAUACAUAAACAUGCAAGUUAAUUUUUACUUACCAUCCAACUGAAAAAAAAGGCAGUACCGAAUGGAGCAAAAACAGCUUGAUCCAAUAACACACGCUUCACGACAUUAAUAGCGCCUUUCUCUAUUGGGAACUUAGCAGAUAGCAAACGCAACCACCGAAAUUGAAAUGGAGAAAUAGCAAAACCAAAAGUAACAAAUUGAAGAACCCUUUUAAUACUAGGUAUUUCAGGAUGAGUGUUUAAUCUCACGCCAUCCAAACCAAUCAUCGCAUUUUUGUUUGUUUGGUAUAUGGUCAAGCCUUGGGCGACAGCAUCGGAUAUUCCACCCAGUGUACCAGCAGUUAGACACAUAGUCAUAAUCGGCGCCUUUUCAAAAAGAGCGUUAUAGCGGGUUGCAAAACGACUAAACAUAAUGGAUAAUGAGGGACAAAAAACUCAAUCAAAAGCAAUUCAAAAUCUAACGACCCAAUG